GAGGAAAAGAAACCAACAGGGAUUGCCCUAGUAACGGCGAGUGAAGCGGCAACAGCUCAAAUUUGAAAUCUGGCGUCUUUGGCGUCCGAGUUGUAAUUUGCAGAGGGCGCUUUGGCAUUGGCAGCGGUCCAAGUUCCUUGGAACAGGACGUCACAGAGGGUGAGAAUCCCGUACGUGGUCGCUAGCCUUUACCGUGUAAAGCCCCUUCGACGAGUCGAGUUGUUUGGGAAUGCAGCUCUAAAUGGGAGGUAAAUUUCUUCUAAAGCUAAAUACUGGCCAGAGACCGAUAGCGCACAAGUAGAGUGAUCGAAAGAUGAAAAGCACUUUGGAAAGAGAGUUAAAAAGCACGUGAAAUUGUUGAAAGGGAAGCGCUUGCAGCCAGACUUGCCUGUAGUUGCUCAUCCGGGUUUUUACCCGGUGCACUCUUCUACGGGCAGGCCAGCAUCAGUUUGGGCGGUUGGAUAAAGGUCUCUGUCAUGUACCUCCUCUCGGGGAGAUCUUAUAGGGGAGACGACAUGCAACCAGCCUGGACUGAGGUCCGCGCAUCUGCUAGGAUGCUGGCGUAAUGGCUGUAAGCGGCCCGUCU
RNAcentral lists this ribosomal RNA (586 nucleotides) under fungal sp. SG5. Its description in RNAcentral is "eukaryotic LSU rRNA". It matches the Rfam family "Eukaryotic large subunit ribosomal RNA", at positions 53 to 654 of the family's 3401-position model. The record is from RNAcentral. Lineage: Eukaryota; Fungi.